Molecule: long non-coding RNA, 650 nt
Organism: Sinocyclocheilus rhinocerous
Lineage: Eukaryota; Metazoa; Chordata; Actinopteri; Cypriniformes; Cyprinidae
Exons: 3
Source: RefSeq, a predicted model, not a curated record
GCGAAAGCAAAUUCACUACAUGUCUGACUCAGAGAAGACUUUGCAGUUGGAGGGAUCCAUGAACUUGAGAAAGACCCAGGAGUUGCAGUGUUAGAAGCCAGUAUGCUCUCCCUCAGUGUUACAGAGGAAGAUCUUCAUGACUCUCCAGAUGAAGAAGCAGUCAAUGACCUGAGGAAUAGCACGCAAGUCUUGAUCAGUCAUCGUUUUAUUUAUUUUUUUACCAACCUGUAUGGCUCUGUGUUUAUGUUCAGAAUUGACAUGGAUGAGCGGUGGACUAACCGUAGAUGCUGUGAAGAUGAAGACAGAUCUGAUGAGGACUAUGUUCCUUUUCUUUAGCUACGUGUUGGUGGUGCAGCCUCAAAUGCCACUGACAUCAACCGGCUUCACAAGAUAAGUAUGGAUGAAGCUGUGCUUGAUGUAGUGGUGCCAGAUCCCCCAGAAGAGGACAUGUCUGGCAUUCCUGACCAACAAAAGGUUGAUUGUGAAGACGACCUGGUUGGUAAAAGUGCCUGCAUCGCAUCAACCUGAAGACCCUUGCCUCGUAUCUCCAGUUGCCCAUACAAGUGUGCAAGCAUGUUAACAAAGCAACUGGAGGUUCAUGUCCUGGUAUACCACCUUUUGAACUUUCACUGAACCCUUGUGGAAAUUGA